This 886-nucleotide long non-coding RNA is filed under the name Zostera marina. RNAcentral's name for it is "long non-coding RNA (ZMAR_LNC002373)". Lineage: Eukaryota; Viridiplantae; Streptophyta; Magnoliopsida; Alismatales; Zosteraceae. The record is from RNAcentral.
CUACAAGCAAACUCAAGAGCUUUCACUCCACACUUGCCCACACGUUUUUGCCUCCAAGCUUUCAAGUGCUCAAGUGUCCUAGCUUUCCAAAGCUUCAAAAGCUCUCCAACUUCUUCUUCUAAUCUUCUUGUUCAUCUUUACAAGUAAGAAGUGUUGUUUGCUUUAAUAUUCCACUCCUCUAAUCACCUCUUGUGUGUGUCCACUUUGGUUGAGAGGGUUGUCUCAAUAGUACCAAAGUGUUAGAGAAGGUUUGUGAGCUCAACCAUAAAGCUCUAGUUUGGUUUUAUAGAGUUUCCGGGAAAACUCUUAGGUUGAGUCUACCUUUAAAGCUUAGAGAGGUUUUUAAGAGUUCCUUGAUACUCUAAGGUACUAACUUACCCGUAAAAGUUAGAGGUUCUUAAAAGUGCCCUUGAUACUCUAAGGUGUGAGUCUACCCGUAAAAGACUGGUUCCUAAGCGAAGUAGCCUUAAAGCUUAGAGAGGUUCUUAAGAGUUUCCUUGAUACUCUAAGGUUUUGCCAUUACCUUUAGGCGAGUGAAUUCCGACAGUUGGUCGGGACUGGACUAGCCCUUGUUUGGGUGAACCAGUAUAAAUCUCUUGUGGUGUUCUCUGUUAAUUAUAGUUCUAUCUUUUACUUAAAAAACAACACUUAAUUAAAAAGAUCCCUCUUCCAGUUAUCUGGUCAAACACAGAGGUUGACUACUUUACGCAGAUCCCUCAUCCAGUUAUCUGGUCAACUAUCUGAGGUUAUAUUCAUUGCUUUAAAUCCUUAUAUUUGUUCAAGUAUUACUUAUCAUAUUUAUCCAGUUAUCUGGUCACUUACUUGUUUAUCAACUUAUCCAGUCAUCUGGUCACUUACUUGUUUGUCAAUAUAUCCAGUUAUCUGG